CGGCCUAUACUGCAAGUCGAGCGGAACAGAUGGUGCAGCUUGUCGUCCCUGAUGUUAGCGACGGACGGACGCAGUAACACGUGGUUAACAUGCCUGUAAGACUGGGAUAACUCCGGGAAACCGGAGCUAAUACCGGAUGCUUGAUUGAACCGCAGGGUUCAAUUAUCCACGGUGGCUCUUACCUACCACUUACCCAUGGACCGACGACGCAUUAGCUAGUUGGUGAGGUAACGGCUCACCAAGGCAACGAUGCGUAUCCGACCUGAGAGGGUGAUCGGCCACACUGGACACUGAGACACGGCCCAGACUCCUACGGGAGGCAGCAAUUAGGGAAUCUUCCGCAAUGGACGAAAGUCUGACGGAGCAACGCCGCGUGAGUGAUGAAGGUUUUCGGAUCGUAAAACUCUGUUGUUAGGGAAGAACAAGUACCGUUCGAAUAGGGCGGUACCUUGACGGUACCUAACCAGAAAGCCACGGCUAACUACGUGCCAGCAGCCGCGUAAAUACGUAGGUGGAAAGCGUUGUCCGGAAUUAUUGGGCGUAAAGCGCGCGCAGGCGGUUUCUUAAGUCUGAUGUGAAACCCCCCGGCUCAACCGGGGAGGGUCAUUGAAAACUGGGGAACUUGAGUGCAAAAAAGAAUAGUGGAAUUCCACGUGUAGCGGUGAAAUGCGUAGAGAUGUGAAGAAACACCAGUGGCGAAGGCGACUCUCUGGUCUGUAACUGACGCUAAGGCGCGAAAGCGUGCGGAGCGAACAGGAUUAGAUACCCUGGUAGCUCCACGCCGUAAAACAAUGAGUGCUAAAGUGUUAGAGGGUUUCCCCCCCUUUUAUGUGCUGCAGCAAAACGCCUUAAUGCACUCCCGCCUGGGGAAUACGGUCGCAGGACUGAAAUCUCAAAAGGAAAUUGACGAGAGGCCCCCCAAAAAAACCGUUUGGAAAGCAUGUGG
RNAcentral lists this ribosomal RNA (946 nucleotides) under Bacillus licheniformis. Its description in RNAcentral is "bacterial SSU rRNA". It matches the Rfam family "Bacterial small subunit ribosomal RNA", at positions 43 to 1371 of the family's 1533-position model. The record is from RNAcentral. Lineage: Bacteria; Bacillati; Bacillota; Bacilli; Caryophanales; Bacillaceae.